RNAcentral lists this unclassified non-coding RNA (1722 nucleotides) under Camponotus floridanus (Florida carpenter ant). RNAcentral's name for it is "nuclear distribution protein nudE-like 1-A, transcript variant X3". Lineage: Eukaryota; Metazoa; Arthropoda; Insecta; Hymenoptera; Formicidae. The record is from RNAcentral.
AUAUAUUUAUUAUUACGCAUUAUACGUCUAUAUUUUCGGCGCACUUGACAUUAGUCUCGAGAUUGGCUCGACGUGGCCAGCAUCAUCUUGCUCUCGCUCGGCUCUUUUUAACCUGCCUGCCAUUUUGCGCAAUCUUUGAACUUGUCAGGAUCGUCAGUGACCGAGUAUUUAACGGUGGUGCCCGCGAUCGUAUGUGAAUUUGUCGCGAAUUUGGCGCGAUUGAUCGCGGUCGACGUGCGGCUUGUUGGACGAAACCGCGGCCCCGGACCCCCCCCGGAGGCCCCGGAUGCGCGUGGUGGAAAUACGGAAUAGAUACGGGACAAACGACUUCCGUUUAGGCAUCUCUCGCUGGCUGCUACUGCGCCUUCAGUCCUUGUACGCGUCUGCUACGGAGGUCUCGCUCCUCGCCAGCUAGCGUGACUCAUAAUAACACGAAUGUUAGUGUGAACAGUCGUGUUACAUUUUGAGAUAGUCAAAGAUUGGAAGACAGCAGGGAUUAUAUACAAGUAUCGUGAUCAUCCUCAACAACAACGAUGGAUAUAGAUCCGCCUGAAUUCCUGUCAAAGGAUGACGAGAUUCAAUAUUGGAUGGAGUUAGCUCAUCAAAUGCAUCAAAGAAAAUAUGAUGUUGAACGUGAACUGGAAGAAUUUCAAGAGAAUUCACAAAUGUUGGAGAAAGAAUUAGAAACUUCCUUGGAACAAGCGGAAAAAACAAAUAGGGAAUUGAGACAGAGAAAUACAAGACUUGCCACAGAAGUUGAACAGUUGAGAAUGCGAUUAGAUCAGCAGUCUACAGAUUGUGCCAUGUUCCAAGGAAAAGCGCAAGAUUUACAGCAACAGCACGAGCAUCUUCUAAAAUACAUUAGAGAACUUGAACAAAAAAAUGACGACUUAGAAAGAGCACAUAGGAUAAAUAGGGUUACAGAAGAGGAAAUAGAAGCUAAGUUUAAUUUAGCUAUAGAAAAGAAUGCCUUACUUGAAUCUGAACUCGAUGAAAAAGAAAGCCUAAAAGUAAUAGUGCAAAGACUGAUGGACGAAGUUAGAGAUUUGAAGCAGGAGAUACAAGUACAUGAAAGGCAUCACGCUGAUAAUAAUAAGUCCGCCGAGAGAGUUCGUAACAACAUUGACAGUAAUAAGCUACAGGCCGAAUUGGAAUCAAAUUCACCCGCUAGCCAGAUAGUUUCACAAACCAUAUCUUCGAAUAAUACAACGACUUCGCCGAUGAAACUUGGGCAUGGAAUGGUAGGGGGUGUUAUUGGAAACAACAAUAAUAAUAAUAGCCAGCCAUUGCCACCUUGUACCAGAAUACUGGCAAUGAAUAUGAUUGGUGAUCUCAUGCGAAAAGUCGGGCUUGACAGAUGGGUCUGCAUGGGCUGUAGGAGAAUAAAAUGCACUUGUCCAAGCGGACAGAUAUCAAAUACCACAUCAUCUACUGUCUUAUCAGCGGCUCAGACUCACGUAUCUACUCAAUGUAUAAGCCAACAACCUAGAUCAACCGCGUACAGAUCUUCAAUGUGAUUUCUCGUCCUUAUAUUAUUUUGCAUCUCCUUAAAGAGCAGGCGCUGGAAAAUAAGCUGAACACAAGCAGAAACGCGUUUCGAGAAGAUCAAGUUCGUGAUCUCUACAGAGCUAGACGGCAAGUCAGAAGCCCAGCCACAGGAAACAACAACCACAUUCGAUUGUAAACGCAGGAUAAUGUCGCAGUGCAAUCAUAUAUCCGCAC